GUGGAUGAGGCAUGCAAGUCGAACGAGACUAUAGGGUAACUUGUAGUCUAGUGGCGGAAGGGUUAGUAAUACAUGAAUAACCUAUCUUUGACCUGGGGAUAACGGCUGGAAACGGCCGCUAAUACCGAAUGAAGCCGAUAGAUGGAAUCAUCAGUCGGUUAAGGUAGGGGCUCUCGAAAGGGACCUCGCGGUGAAUGAGGGGUUCAUGGGAUAUCAGCUAGUUGGUGUGGUAAUGGCGCACCAAGGCUAAGACGUCUAGGCGGAUUGAGAGAUUG
This 275-nucleotide ribosomal RNA is filed under the name uncultured Chlamydiales bacterium. RNAcentral's name for it is "partial 16S ribosomal RNA". It matches the Rfam family "Bacterial small subunit ribosomal RNA", at positions 44 to 302 of the family's 1533-position model. Lineage: Bacteria; Pseudomonadati; Chlamydiota; Chlamydiia; Chlamydiales. The record is from RNAcentral.